UACGUAGGUGGCGAGCGUUGUCCGGAUUUAUUGGGCGUAAAGCGAGCGUAGGCGGUUUAGUAAGUCUGAUGUGAAAGUCACCGGCUCAACCUUGGAAGGUCAUUGGAAACUGGGGGACUUGAGUGCAGAAGAGGCGAGUGGAAUUCCAUGUGUAGCGGUGAAAUGCGUAGAUAUAAGGAGGAACACCAGUGGCGAAGGCAGCUCUCUGGUAUGUAACUGACACUGAGGCGCGAAAGCGUGGGGAGCAAACAGG
This 253-nucleotide ribosomal RNA is filed under the name uncultured bacterium. RNAcentral's name for it is "partial 16S ribosomal RNA". It matches the Rfam family "Bacterial small subunit ribosomal RNA", at positions 524 to 776 of the family's 1533-position model. The record is from RNAcentral.